This 679-nucleotide long non-coding RNA is filed under the name Gossypium barbadense (sea-island cotton). RNAcentral's name for it is "long non-coding RNA (GBAR_LNC023538)". The record is from RNAcentral. Lineage: Eukaryota; Viridiplantae; Streptophyta; Magnoliopsida; Malvales; Malvaceae.
UACAAUUUAGGAAGCUAUCAUGGCAAACUCAACUUGCCCAUGAUAGGAGACUAUCAAAGAUUAAAAGCUGACAUCAAAUGCAAGGCUGAAUUUGCUUUAUUAUCUUGUUUUAAUGACAGUGGGAUGAACCUCUCUCAUUUAUUCUUUGUCGACAACUUCAAAUCAAGUCAGGGAAGGCUGCAAGAGAGAAUGCCAGGGCCAUUCGGCGGUCAUCACAAUUGCUGUCUAGUUUAAUUUCUCGGAUGGAGGAAUGAUUACACAAUAAUCUGGCCCUUCUUCAACUCUUGCUCCGAGCAUCAUCUAAAGGAUUUGUAUAAGAAUAAAGGUAGCUAGAAUCUACCUUCUGAGUUGUGUCUGUGCAUACAGCAAUCAUUCUUUCAGUCUCCUUUUGCUGCUGAAAAGAACCAGGGAAAUAGUCUUUAGUUGGGAAGAAGAAGAAGAGGAGGAGGAGGAGGAGAAGAAAUAUGCAUAUUUCAACAUCCAAAUAUAAUGUUCAUCCCCAGAAAUCACUUAUUGCUCAGAACUACUGAUAAUAAAAAAAGUAAGCAUCAUUUUUAAAUCAAAUGCAUUUUGGGCUUGAUGUUUCCCAUUAAACUGCAGCAAAGGUUUCAAGCUUGUAAGUGUUGUUUCAUUCCUUAGGGUGCAAAGGACUUGCCAGAAGCAGUGCAAAGAAUGAAAG